Molecule: non-coding RNA, 73 nt
Organism: Podarcis lilfordi (Lilford's wall lizard)
Lineage: Eukaryota; Metazoa; Chordata; Lepidosauria; Squamata; Lacertidae
Source: the annotation of a GenBank genome assembly
GCCAAGAUAGCUCAGUUGGUAGAGCAUUAGACACUUAAUCUCAAGGUUGUGGGUUCCAGCCCCACAUUGGGCA